AUACGUAUGUCGCAAGCGUUAUCCGGAUUUAUUGGGCGUAAAGCGCGUCUAGGCGGCUUAGUAAGUCUGAUGUGAAAAUGCGGGGCUCAACCCCGUAUUGCGUUGGAAACUGCUAAACUAGAGUACUGGAGAGGUAGGCGGAACUACAAGUGUAGAGGUGAAAUUCGUAGAUAUUUGUAGGAAUGCCGAUGGGGAAGCCAGCCUUCAGGACGCAUACUGACGCUAAGGCUCGAAAGCGUGGGAAGCAAAGAGAAUUAAAUCCCCUGGUAGUCCACGCCGUAAACGAUGAUUACUAGGUGUUGGGGGUCGAACCUCAGCGCCCAAGCUAACGCGAUAAGUAAUCCGCCUGGGGAGUACGGACGCAAGUAUGAAACUCAAAUGAAUUGACGGGG
This 392-nucleotide ribosomal RNA is filed under the name uncultured bacterium. Its description in RNAcentral is "partial 16S ribosomal RNA". It matches the Rfam family "Bacterial small subunit ribosomal RNA", at positions 523 to 918 of the family's 1533-position model. The record is from RNAcentral.